UUGAUAUGAAGACUUGGAAUAACUCUGUCAAGUUGCAAAGAGAAAAUUGAAAUGUCGGCGGCUUCUCGAAUGUUUACUUAAUAAACGUCAGAGAUUAUGGAAGGAAUAACUCGCCGGUCUACUUUUAGGCUUUCGAAUGAUGGAGAAAAUUCAGUUCCUUUUUUCCACUUUUUCCCCUCUUCUUAGUCAGGUGACUACCGGCUCUCCAGCCGGCGAUAGGUACUUCGGUUGGCGAUGGUUGCUCCGGCCGGUCGACGAUGGCGCGCUGGUAGGAGUACUCUUCAGGGUUUGGGAGCAAAUGAGAAAUUGAUCCCUGUUGCAGUACUCUUCUUUUAUUUAUUUUGGUUAAUGCUAUUGAUUUUUAUUUUAUUUUAUGAACAAUUGUGG
Molecule: long non-coding RNA, 387 nt
Filed under: Olea europaea subsp. europaea
Lineage: Eukaryota; Viridiplantae; Streptophyta; Magnoliopsida; Lamiales; Oleaceae
Source: RNAcentral